This 497-nucleotide ribosomal RNA is filed under the name uncultured bacterium. RNAcentral describes it as "partial 16S ribosomal RNA". It matches the Rfam family "Bacterial small subunit ribosomal RNA", at positions 28 to 507 of the family's 1533-position model. The record is from RNAcentral.
GAUGAACGCUGGCGGCGUGCCUAAUACAUGCAAGUCGAACGCUGAAGGAAGGAGCUUGCUCUUUCCGGAUGAGUUGCGAACGGGUGAGUAACGCGUAGGUAACCUGCCUGGUAGCGGGGGAUAACUAUUGGAAACGAUAGCUAAUACCGCAUAACAGUAGAUGUUGCAUGAUAUCUACUUAAAAGGUGCAAUUGCACCACUACCAGAUGGACCUGCGUUGUAUUAGCUAGUUGGUGAGGUAACGGCUCACCAAGGCGACGAUACAUAGCCGACCUGAGAGGGUGGUAGGCGACACUGGGGCUGAGACACGGCCAAUGCUACUACGGGACGCAGCAGACGGGAAUGUUAGGCAAUAGACGGAAGUCUGACAGAGCAACGCCGAGUGAGAGACGACGGUUUUCGGAUCGGAAAGAUCUGUUGUAAGAGAAGAACGAGUGUGAGAGUGGAAAGUUCACAAUGUAACGGUAUCUGAACAGAAACGGACGGCUAACAACGUG